AACGGGCGCCGACAACUACUGGACACUCCCAGAAGCACUACUUGAGGUAAACCAUCACCAUCACAACAAACGCUAAGCCAUGGGAGGUGAUUGGUCCAACUCUCAACCCUGCCCACCUUCUCCUCCUACUUUUCCUGAGGAAUGGAGGAAAAUACCAUGGGGGU
This is a non-coding RNA of Plectropomus leopardus (leopard coralgrouper), 164 nucleotides long. The record is from RefSeq and is a predicted model, not a curated record. Lineage: Eukaryota; Metazoa; Chordata; Actinopteri; Perciformes; Serranidae.